GAUGAACGCUGGCGGCGUGCCUAAUACAUGCAAGUCGAGCGAACAGACGAGGAGCUUGCUCCUUCGACGUUAGCGGCGGACGGGUGAGUAACACGUAGGUAACCUACCUAUAAGACUGGGAUAACUUCGGGAAACCGGAGCUAAUACCGGAUAAUAUUUCGAACCGCAUGGUUCGAUAGUGAAAGAUGGCUUUGCUAUCACUUAUAGAUGGACCUGCGCCGUAUUAGCUAGUUGGUAAGGUAACGGCUUACCAAGGCAACGAUACGUAGCCGACCUGAGAGGGGGAUCGGCCACACUGGAACUGAGACACGGUCCAGACUCCGACGGGAGGCAGCAGUAGGGAAUCUUCCGCAAUGGGCGAAAGCCUGACGGAGCAACGCCGCGGGAGUGAUGAAGGUCUGCGGAUCGUAAAACUCUGUUAUUAGGGAAGAACAAACGUGUAAGUAACUGUGCACGUCUUGACGGUACCUAAUCAGAAAGCCACGGCUAACUACGU
RNAcentral lists this ribosomal RNA (496 nucleotides) under uncultured bacterium. RNAcentral describes it as "partial 16S ribosomal RNA". It matches the Rfam family "Bacterial small subunit ribosomal RNA", at positions 28 to 506 of the family's 1533-position model. The record is from RNAcentral.